This 167-nucleotide ribosomal RNA is filed under the name Cuminum cyminum. RNAcentral's name for it is "partial 28S ribosomal RNA". It matches the Rfam family "Eukaryotic large subunit ribosomal RNA", at positions 1 to 165 of the family's 3401-position model. Lineage: Eukaryota; Viridiplantae; Streptophyta; Magnoliopsida; Apiales; Apiaceae. The record is from RNAcentral.
UGACCCCAGGUCAGGCGGGACUACCCGCUGAGUUUAAGCAUAUCAAUAAGCGGAGGAAAAAGAAACUUACGAGGAUUCCCUCUAGUAACGGCGAGCGAACCGGGAACAGCCCAGCUUGAAAAUAUAGCGGCUACGCCGUUUGAAUUGUAGUCUGGAGAAGCAUCCAA